Molecule: ribosomal RNA, 229 nt
Filed under: uncultured bacterium
Lineage: Bacteria
Description: partial 16S ribosomal RNA
Rfam family: Bacterial small subunit ribosomal RNA
Source: RNAcentral
CGUGUAGGCGGUUUUGCAAGUCUGGUGUGAAAUACUGCAGCUUAACUGCAGAGACGCGCUGGAAACUGUGAGACUAGAGUACUGGAGGGGGACAUGGAAUUCCUGGUGUAGGGGUGAAAUCUGUAGAUAUCAGGAAGAACACCGGUGGCGAAGGCGAUGUCCUGGCCAAGUACUGACGCUGAGGCGCGAAAGCGUGGGGAGCGAACAGGAUUAGAUACCCUGGUAGUCC